UACGGAGGGUGCAAACGUUGCUCGGAAUCAUUGGGCGUAAAGCGCACGUAGGCGGACCGCGAAGUCGGAUGUGAAAGCCCUCGGCUUAACCGAGGAAGUGCAUUCGAAACUGACAGUCUUGAGUAUGGAAGAGGGUCGCGGAAUUCCCGGUGUAGAGGUGAAAUUCGUAGAUAUCGGGAGGAACACCUGUGGCGAAGGCGGCCGACUGGACGAUAACUGACACUGAGACGCGAAAGCGUGGGUAGCAAACAGG
This 253-nucleotide ribosomal RNA is filed under the name uncultured bacterium. RNAcentral's name for it is "partial 16S ribosomal RNA". It matches the Rfam family "Bacterial small subunit ribosomal RNA", at positions 524 to 776 of the family's 1533-position model. The record is from RNAcentral.